RNAcentral lists this ribosomal RNA (497 nucleotides) under uncultured bacterium. Its description in RNAcentral is "partial 16S ribosomal RNA". It matches the Rfam family "Bacterial small subunit ribosomal RNA", at positions 28 to 507 of the family's 1533-position model. The record is from RNAcentral.
GAUGAACGCUGGCGGCGUGCCUAAUACAUGCCAGUCGAGCGAACGGACGAGAAGCUUGCUUCUCUGAUGUUAGCGGCGGACGGGUGAGUAACACGUGGAUAACCUACCUAUAAAACUGGGAUAACUUCGGGAAACCGGAGCUAAUACCGGAUAAUAUUUUGAACCGCAUGGUUCAAAAGUGAAAGACGGUCUUGCUGUCACUUAUAGAUGGAUCCGCGCUGCAUUAGCUAGUUGGUAAGGUAACGGCUUACCAAGGCAACGAUGCAUAGCCGACCUGAGAGGGUGAUCGGCCACACUGGAACUGAGACACGGUCCAGACUCCUACGGGAGGCAGCAGUAGGGAAUCUUCCGCAAUGGGCGAAAGCCUGACGGAGCAACGCCGCGUGAGUGAUGAAGGUCUUCGGAUCGUAAAACUCUGUUAUUAGGGAAGAACAUAUGUGUAAGUAACUGUGCACAUCUUGACGGUACCUAAUCAGAAAGCCACGGCUAACUACGUG